UCUGCUCAAUGAUUAAUUAAAUAGCCGCAGUAAUUUGACUGUGCGAAGGUAGCAUAAUCAUUAGUUUUUUAAUUGAAGACUGGAAUGAAAGAGGGGAUGAAAUUUCAACUGUCUCUAUAUUAAUAAUUGAAUUUUAUUUUAAGUAAAAAUUCUUAAAUUUUUUUAAGGGACGAGAAGACCCUAUAGAAUUUUAUAAUUUAAUUAAAUAUUUGAUUUAAAUUUAUAAUUAUAUUUUUAAUUAAAUUAUUUGAUUGGGAGGAUUAUUAAAUUUAUUUAACUUUAAUUUUUGUUUAAUUUUUAUGAAAAGAUUUUUGAGUUAAAAUUAAUUAAUAUAAGAAAAAUUACCUUAGGGAUAACAGCGUUAUAUUUUUGGAGAGAUCUUAUUAAUAAAAAUGAUUGCGACCUCGAUGUUGAAUUAAAAUAAAAUUUGAAUGAAGAAGUUCAAUAUUUG
RNAcentral lists this ribosomal RNA (451 nucleotides) under Elampus panzeri. RNAcentral's name for it is "partial 16S ribosomal RNA". Lineage: Eukaryota; Metazoa; Arthropoda; Insecta; Hymenoptera; Chrysididae. The record is from RNAcentral.